CUGAGCCAUUUCUCCAGCCCUCCAUUCUAAAUUUAAGGGCUGGAGAGAUGGCUUAG
RNAcentral lists this microRNA precursor (56 nucleotides) under Jaculus jaculus (lesser Egyptian jerboa). RNAcentral's name for it is "miRNA (ENSJJAG00000001194.1)". Lineage: Eukaryota; Metazoa; Chordata; Mammalia; Rodentia; Dipodidae. The record is from RNAcentral.